UCCUGCGAGUCAGGAGAGAGUGCCCCACCCUUGCACAAGGAUGAGCGGCACCGCCGAAGGCGCAGGCAGCAGCCGAACGCUCAGGCAAAAGGACUGGCAAGCGCCC
This 106-nucleotide non-coding RNA is filed under the name Acidovorax delafieldii. RNAcentral describes it as "Glycine sequence". It matches the Rfam family "Glycine riboswitch aptamer". From Rfam's summary of the family: This family represents the bacterial glycine riboswitch. Glycine riboswitches usually consist of two metabolite-binding aptamers domains with similar structures in tandem. The aptamers cooperatively bind glycine to regulate the expression of downstream genes. RNAcentral also lists the same sequence under 1 other name. Lineage: Bacteria; Pseudomonadati; Pseudomonadota; Betaproteobacteria; Burkholderiales; Comamonadaceae. The record is from RNAcentral.